Molecule: ribosomal RNA, 253 nt
Filed under: uncultured prokaryote
Description: partial 16S ribosomal RNA
Rfam family: Bacterial small subunit ribosomal RNA
Source: RNAcentral
UACGAAGGGUGCUAGCGUUGUUCGGAAUCACUGGGCGUAAAGCGCGCGUAGGCGGCUUUUCAAGUCAGGGGUGAAAUCCCACAGCUUAACUGUGGAGCUGCCUUUGAAACUGUAAAGCUAGAGUGUCGGAGGGGAUAGCGGAAUUGCUAAUGUAGAGGUGAAAUUCGUAGAUAUUAGCAGGAACACCGGUGGCGAAGGCGGCUAUCUGGACGACAACUGACGCUGAGGCGCGAAAGCGCGGGGAUCAAACAGG